RNAcentral lists this ribosomal RNA (491 nucleotides) under uncultured bacterium. RNAcentral's name for it is "partial 16S ribosomal RNA". It matches the Rfam family "Bacterial small subunit ribosomal RNA", at positions 29 to 507 of the family's 1533-position model. The record is from RNAcentral.
AGUGAACGCUGGCGGUAGGCCUAACACAUGCAAGUCGAACGGCAGCACAGUAAGAGCUUGCUCUUACGGGUGGCGAGUGGCGGACGGGUGAGGAAUACAUCGGAAUCUACUUUUUCGUGGGGGAUAACGUAGGGAAACUUACGCUAAUACCCAUACGACCUACGGGUGAAAGCAGGGGAUCUUCGGACCUUGCGCGAUUGAAUGAGCCGAUGUCGGAUUAGCUAGUUGGCGGGGUAAAGGCCCACCAAGGCGACGAUCCGUAGCUGGUCUGAGAGGAUGAUCAGCCACACUGGAACUGAGACACGGUCCAGACUCCUACGGGAGGCAGCAGUGGGGAAUAUUGGACCAUGGGCGCAAGCCUGAUCCAGCCAUACCGCGUGGGUGAAGAAGGCCUUCGGGUUGUAAAGCCCUUUUGUUGGGAAAGAAAAGCAGCAGGUUAAUACCCCGCUGUUCUGACGGUACCCAAAGAAUAAGCACCGGCUAACUUCGUG